UUAUGAUGCUAUUCAAUUUCAUUCUAUAUAUAAGUGUGUCUAUGCAUUAAAAUUAUUCAAACUCACCAAUCCGCAUUGCUCCAUUUUUACAGUUUGUAGAAUUCAAAGUUUUUCAUACUCCAUUUUUACAGUUUGUAGAAUUCAAAGUUCUUGAUUCUUUAUUUUUUGGUCGAAAACUUUUUUCUUAUUAAGGUGUAGAAGAUGGAUUCAACGAAUGACUAUGUUUCAAAGAGUGAUCCUAAUGUUGUUAUCAUUGAGAAGGAGGAGGGAGACAAAAUGAUAUGAUAAUUUUUAUCAUUGAGAAGAAGGUGGCUCAACUCCUAUGUCAUCUGCAGACUUAGAGAACUCAAGAGAGGCACGAAAGAAAAUAUAUUACAAAAUUGUCAUCAUUCUUGGAUGUUGAAAACAAUUUUUGACUCUUCUGCAACUCGGGAUUCUCCUAUUUAUGGAGAUGGAACUAUGUCGGAUUUAGUUCUCCUAAGUGUCAGAGCGAUAUGUAUCAUCACUAAUGUGGAUGAUUUGAGUUCAUGUGGAUCAACAUAGCAGGAGAGAUAAAUCUUAAGAGGCUGAAAAAACCCUCAUAUGAGAGUAAGAGAGGAUGCAUUAUCUGACACCCACCUGGAAUCGGAUAAACGCACUCACUAUUGUGUUUCUUCAGUCGUUUUUGAAGAUAUUUAAAGUGUCAGCUUGUUA
Molecule: long non-coding RNA, 693 nt
Organism: Solanum lycopersicum (tomato)
Lineage: Eukaryota; Viridiplantae; Streptophyta; Magnoliopsida; Solanales; Solanaceae
Source: RefSeq, a predicted model, not a curated record